Molecule: transfer RNA, 68 nt
Filed under: Marmota monax (woodchuck)
Lineage: Eukaryota; Metazoa; Chordata; Mammalia; Rodentia; Sciuridae
Description: tRNA.Ala
Source: RNAcentral
GGUUUGUGGCUCAGUGGUAGAGCACUUGCCUGGCAUGUGUGAGGCACUAGGUUCGAGUCUUAUCACCA